AUCCUUUUGUAGUUCAUAAGCAUGAUGAUUGGGUGUUCACGCGUCUGUGUGAGAUGUGCCUCCCACGAACCUUGUUACGACGUCGGCACAUCACCCGUCUGACG
Molecule: small nucleolar RNA, 104 nt
Organism: Diceros bicornis minor
Lineage: Eukaryota; Metazoa; Chordata; Mammalia; Perissodactyla; Rhinocerotidae
Product: small nucleolar RNA U13
Exons: 1
Source: RefSeq, a predicted model, not a curated record